UAGAGUGAUCAGCCAUUUUUUGUUCCGUGGAGAAAAAAUCAGAACAAUUUUGAUAUUUUUUUAAAAAAUUUUUAGAUUUGAGAGCGUUUUGCACAUUUCACUUAUCUAUAUAUCCAUCCUAUCACCUAUUAUCUCCUCAUCUUAUUUGUAGUAGUCAACACCACAUCGUUAUUGUGCCAUCGUAGUUCUCAUAAGUAAUUGGCACAUAAAAAAAAAUUUUGAUAAAAACAUACAAAGCUUAUAUCAUUUUAAAUCAGUUAUUUGAUCUUUAAAAAUUUUAAUUUUACUAUCUAAUCUAUCAGUCUGUUUGAUAUAAAUUAGCAAAUAAUAUUUUAACUUCAAAAUUUUAACCUCAUUAUUUACUUUAAUAAAUUUAUAAUUAUGAGAAUUGUAUAAAGUAUAUAUAUUAUCUAAAUCUGUUAGAAUUAACGAUGUAUUCAUAUUUUAGAAUCAAAAUGCUGUUGAUCGACUCAAAACAAAUUAACAAUAUUAAAUAGCGAAAUUAAAAUUUUGAAAGAUGAAAUAGGCAAUUCAAAAUAUUUUAUAAGUUAGAAAAAUUUUAUAAGUUUUUGUCUAGAAAAAAAAUUAAAGA
RNAcentral lists this long non-coding RNA (592 nucleotides) under Ananas comosus (pineapple). RNAcentral's name for it is "long non-coding RNA (ACOM_LNC042562)". Lineage: Eukaryota; Viridiplantae; Streptophyta; Magnoliopsida; Poales; Bromeliaceae. The record is from RNAcentral.